Molecule: long non-coding RNA, 1128 nt
Organism: Lagopus muta (rock ptarmigan)
Lineage: Eukaryota; Metazoa; Chordata; Aves; Galliformes; Phasianidae
Exons: 5
Source: RefSeq, a predicted model, not a curated record
UCCAAGUAUGGAAGCUUCUAUUGCAAUUGGAUUUGAAGGUGGAGCUCUUUGCUUCUGGAUUUUGUUGCUUUUAAUUCAAGUCUGCUUUUGUUAGGUUUAUUGUAUAGCAGUUUCCAACAACAAUGAAUGAAGUAAAACUUUAAAACCAGAGCUCCUCUACUUCGUCACAGCGCUGAGAUUGUCGCUCAAGUGGAGAAGAAAAAAUUCCCCUGUGGAUCUUCAGAGGUCUGGAGGAAAGAUAUGCUGCUGGAUCCUUCAUUGGCUGCUGCCCCGGAUGGCUUUGGUGUGGCAGUGCUUAAGGAGAGGAGCUGACCUGGCUGACAGAAAAGCUUAGAAAAUACUGCAACAGCCAUUCCUGCAGCAGGGAGUUGGAAGAGAAGAUGAACUGAAUGAAACCAGGUAGCCACUGUAUGUGUUUACCAUCCUUAGGAGAGAAGAGCAAAUACGGGCCAGCAAGAUGAUCACUGAGGAGUGGGGAGUCAAGACUUUGUCAGCAAGGCUGAGUACUAAGUGUGGAUGCUUUUGUGGAGUGGAACAAAAAAGCUGUUGUCAAAACUACUGAUGUAGCCUCGUCCUUAUCAGUACUCCUAUCAAGUUAUUUUAUAGAUUAAACUGGCUGCUACCCAGGAGAACCAUAAGCAAAGCUCUGUGGAAAUUUUUCACUGCAGCAAAGCUGACAAAGAGGAAAAAGGAAAAGCGUGUGACAAUAUUUUUACAAAAGCAAAAGAUGCACUUCAAGGUAGAACAGGAACUCCUUUUCACAUGACUGUUUCCUGGCGGUGAUGUCCAGCAUUCUCUAGCUUGCAGGGUAUUUCUCAGACACAUCCUUUGACCUUUCAUCUUGAGAAGCUACAAAUGCCUGCACUGGACUGAGACAGCAUCAGUGUUUUGACAUGGGGAGAAGUCUUGUGAAUGACAGUACUCAUCAGUCCAAAGGAAUUAUGUCUGCAUUAAAAAGAGUAUGGAUUGGUUUUCUCAGGUGCUUCAGAAGUUUGAGGAGAGAAGGAUUAAAUAAAUGUAAGCAGUAACAGAGCUCAAAGUCUGGAGUUCUGUCUUUGUGUCGGAGUUUGUGACCAAAGUCUCUGCCUGGGUCUUGUUCCUUUUCAGAACUGCUUAGUACACAGGGUU